GAUGAACGCUGGCGGCGUGCCUAACACAUGCAAGUCGAGCGGCAGCGAGGGGUGCUUGCACCCUGUCGGCGAGCGGCGGACGGCUGAGUAACGCGUGGGAACGUGCCCCAAAGUGAGGAAUAACUGCCCGAAAGGGUAGCUAAUACCGCAUAUUAUCUUCGGAUCAAAGGAUUUAUCCGCUUUGGGAGCGGCUCGCGUCGGAUUAGGUAGUUGGUGAGGUAAUGGCUCACCAAGCCGACGAUCCGUAGCUGGUCUGAGAGGAUGACCAGCCAGACUGGAACUGAGACACGGUCCAGACUCCUACGGGAGGCAGCAGUGAGGAAUCUUCCACAAUGGGCGAAAGCCUGAUGGAGCAACGCCGCGUGAAGGACGAAGGCCUUCGGGUUGUAAACUGCUUUUAUAAGUGAGGAAUAUGACGGUAACUUAUGAAUAAGGAUCGGCUAACUACGUG
RNAcentral lists this ribosomal RNA (451 nucleotides) under uncultured bacterium. RNAcentral describes it as "partial 16S ribosomal RNA". It matches the Rfam family "Bacterial small subunit ribosomal RNA", at positions 28 to 507 of the family's 1533-position model. The record is from RNAcentral.